UGGGGAAGUCUUAGAGUGAACGGCGUUC
RNAcentral lists this non-coding RNA (28 nucleotides) under Homo sapiens (human). The record is from RNAcentral. Lineage: Eukaryota; Metazoa; Chordata; Mammalia; Primates; Hominidae.